CUUUUAUUGAGAGUUUGAUCCUGGCUCAGGACGAACGCUGGCGGCGUGCCUAAUACAUGCAAGUCGAGC
This 69-nucleotide ribosomal RNA is filed under the name Tumebacillus sp. BK434. RNAcentral describes it as "partial 16S ribosomal RNA". It matches the Rfam family "Bacterial small subunit ribosomal RNA", at positions 1 to 67 of the family's 1533-position model. Lineage: Bacteria; Bacillati; Bacillota; Bacilli; Caryophanales; Alicyclobacillaceae. The record is from RNAcentral.